UGCUCUGUUUGCUGAGAUUAUUGUCUUCCAGCUUCAGCAGCAAAGCUGUGCUGUCAUGUAACCCACUUUUUGCUGCAGCAUCCUUAUCACUCAGACUAACCAAACAGCCAGCUUGUCAGGAUGCCAACAGUUCUGAGGAGUACAGUGUGCAUUACAACAAAUCCCAUGCUUUGAAAAGGCCUUCAGAAAGAUCAAGUCAUAAAACAUCUAGCAAUUAAUUAUAAGGAAAUAACUGAAGAUAUGCACAUAUGCCCAGAACACUUUUAUUUAAAUUAAUUGCAUCUACAUUUUAAACAUGCCUUCACUUUCUUGUGCAUUCAAUUUAUAUAACUCAAAUGUAAAUUUAUAUUAUUUGUUGAACAUCUAGUAUUUUUCCCCACCUUGUUCCAGGUACUGUGGAAGAUACAUAAAGAAGCUAAUUUUGUCUGGAAUGUGGGAUUUAUCAAUAGGGGUUUAAGGUUGUGCUCUUUAUGCUGCCUAAGAUCACAAGAUUUUUCCUUAUGUUUUAUAAGAAGACUUUUAUAGUUUUAUUGUUUACAUUUAGGUCUAUCUAUGAUAUGUUUUAAAUAAAUUUCUGCAUAAUGCAUGAGAUAUGAUUGAUUUUCAUUAUUUUGUAUAUGGAUGUCCAAUUGUUCUAGCACUUUUUGUUGAAAUGACUUUUCUUCAUUGACUUUUGCCUCUGUACCUUUGUCAGAAUUCAGUUGGCCAUUAUCAUAGGCAUUUACAUAUGUCCAAACCCAUCAAACUGUACAUAUUAAAUGUAUUCAAUUAUUUAUAUAUCAGUAAAAAUUAUUUAUUCUUUUUAUACCUCAAUAAAACUGAUAAAGAAUUAAUUGGUUA
Molecule: non-coding RNA, 840 nt
Organism: Ictidomys tridecemlineatus (thirteen-lined ground squirrel)
Lineage: Eukaryota; Metazoa; Chordata; Mammalia; Rodentia; Sciuridae
Source: RefSeq, a predicted model, not a curated record